This 7217-nucleotide long non-coding RNA is filed under the name Nicotiana benthamiana. RNAcentral describes it as "long non-coding RNA (NBEN_LNC025010)". Lineage: Eukaryota; Viridiplantae; Streptophyta; Magnoliopsida; Solanales; Solanaceae. The record is from RNAcentral.
CAAAACAUACAUACAUAGAUAAUACUAGAGUGGUUUACAAUGUACAAUGCCCAAAAUACAAAGUACUUACUACAUGGUUCACGACCCAUAUUUCAUGUCUACGAAGCCUCUAAGGAUAAAGAUGACAGUACUAUGCUUGCUGGUAACAAGGCUCCAGCUAUACCUUUUUUUAGCAUACACCAAAAUAAGAUCCCAAAGUAAAAGAACAAGGGUGGCAGGAGCCACGCAGGGCCCCGGAAGGAAAGGGGCUCACCAAUACAGCUGACAAGGAUUAAGGAAGAGCUACGAAUGGUGGACUGGAGGACCUGCUAAAGAUCCACCUACAAUCAUAACACGAAGGUAGAGCCCCGGCAAAAGGGACGUCGGCACAUUUGAAUUGAACUGGUAUGUAUGAACAAAACUUGUCCCAAGUACUCAAGACAUAUGAAAGUAGAACAUAGCAAUGGAAGUAGCAAUCAAACACACAUAGAAGGUACAAUUAGUCAAACAUAGGGGCAAUCAGUGCCCCACAAGUUACAAACUCUCCUGUUGUCUCCUUUCAUAAUUCCACAUUAAUGAUUUCACAAUUUUGUUCAAAUAUAUAUAUAUAUAUAUAUGUAUAUAUAUUUGUAUAUAUGUAUAUAUAUAUAUAUAUAUAUAUAUAUAUAUCAAUAGUGAUUUCGAUCACUUUUCCAGCCAUAUUACCUCGACCACCCUUAUUACCUCGGCCACCAUUAUCACACCAACCCAAACCUUAUUACACCGUGUUGCAGCGCGCAACUCGACCCCGCCGUACAGUUCAAUUCACAACCAACACAACCAAAUAACAAGUCAUAAAAUAAAUAACAAAUACACUUCAAGACAUCACUACAACAAUGUUACAAGUGUUUCGAUAACUAUUAGUACCAAUUUCAUUUCUUACAACAGUUCGUACUUAAUUCAGGUUACCACAAUUACGCACAACAUUUCAAGUACAUAGUUAUCACAGAUAUCCUUGUUUCACCUUUUACGGAUUCCUUCAAUCACUUAUUAUCCAACUUAUACCACGAGGUGCAUUCACAAUCAAACCAGUCACAAGAAGCUCACAAUUAACCAACAUAGAUAUCAACUACCAAACAAUUCACAUACCAAGCAAGGCGAUUUCACAAGGAUCAAGAUUAGCCAUACAUACCUGGAGNNNNNNNNNNNNNNNNNNNNNNNNNNNNNNNNNNNNNNNNNNNNNNNNNGAAUACCUGGAGUCGAAUUCCCUUUUUAAGUUCCUAUUCUCAGUCACCAAGCUAUCUAGCACAGUUCUCUACUCCUAUCCAAUUUUCCUUCACUAGAUUCUAAGUUUUGAGUGACAUGCAUGAGGGUUUCCAAUUGUUAGUUCAAAAUCAAGUAUAAGAAUCCCUUCCCUUAGCUUAAAUUAAAAACAUUGGGGAAAAGGGUUAAGGAUUUUACCUUCAAGAGUGUAGAUAAAGCAAUAACUCAAAAUUUUUUCCCACUCGGUAGUUUUGGAGGAUCAAUUUGAUGAAGAAUCCUUUCUAUCUCAAGAACUCCCCUUCCCUAUCUCUUGUUUUGUUUAGAAAAUGUGUAAAAAUGAGGGGUUAGGGUAUUUUAUUAGAAAAAGGUCGGAUUUAAAAAAUUUAGAAAACUGAUGUUCGUGUAGGAUAUGCGGUCAACUAUGCGAUCGCAUAGUUGACAUGCGGUCCGCAUAAUGGUCCCAAAUUGCUGACCUCUCUGUUUGGGUAUGCGGUGAAAAUGUGGUCUGCAUACCUGUUUUGAAGUCGCAUAUUGCGCCGCAGAAAUGACCUUCACAAAUCCUCGAGAAAUUUAUGCGACGACUAUGCGGUCCGCAUAUUAGUUAUGUGAUCGCAUAAUAGACCGCAUUUCAACAUGUAAUUUGGCUACUCUCUGAUUAACUCUGCGGUAGAUAUGUGGUUCACAUGCCUGACCACAGAAAUGACAUUUUUCCGGAAAUAUUUAACUCUAGAUUUUUAAGUAUAAAAUCAGUGGAAAAGGAUUCCAACACAUAGGUGGACCUAACUCUAUGAGUUGAUAGGGCUAAAACACUCAUUUACACGGGGUCUUACAGUUACUUAAUGAGUUGGUAUACUCAUGCUACCCCCUGCACCUUAUGUGUAGAUCCAGGUGUUUUCGAUCGCGGUAGAAGUUACUGGUCGAGGUUGCAGACUUGGAGAUAAUUGAGUUAUCUGCAAGGCAUUCACAUAUCUUGACCCUCCUUUUUUAUUCCAGUUGUAUUUUAGUUGUUUCCUCAGUAAACAUUGUAGUAGACUAUGUUCUUUCUUUAGAUGCUCAUGUAAUCCAUGACACGCUGGUUUAAAUUAUGCCUUAUGUUUUUAAAAUAGUUUUACUUAAAUGAUGAAUGUGUUUUUCGCAAGUGUUCUAAAUUCUAGUCAUGUGGUUUGAAUUACGUUGAGUUGAGGCUGGCCUAGUUUCACGAUAUGUGCCAUCACAAUGGAUUAAGUUUUGGGUUGUGACAACAAGUCUCUGAAAGAUAGAAUAUAUUCUUAGUCAAAUCACUGUUCUGGCUUUGUGCUGCCUCUAAAUCAUUUGAAGAAGUCAAAUUUGUCGUGAUAAUCUAUUUUGGGCUUUAUUAUUGCACAUAAUCUUGGCACUCUAAAUGUGCUUUUUUAGCUAUACUGGUUUUAGCGGUGUGAAAUGAGGGGUUUUGUUGAAUUUGAACAUUUAAAAUGGAUUGAUGGGCAUAUAUAUAUAUAUAUAUAUGGUUGGAAAUAUAACUUAUAUUAAACAGUUUAAACUAGUACAUUACACAUGGUAAGAAGAUGCAUAAGAGGCAUCAGUUGUUCCGAAGUCUCUCGUAUGGGAGCUAUUUUUAGAAGCAGUAGGAAAAGUAGAAAACAUACUAGUAUUAGUAGACAACAUAGUACUAUUAUACCCACUAGUUGAACCAGAGAGCAAAUGGUCUUAACCCCUAGAGUUAGCCCUAAUAAGUCUUUGUUGUAAGAUGCCUUGUCGAUCAUGUUGGUAAGAAGGCAUAGCCGAAAGUGGUGGUCUUCCAAAAAUCAUGCAUUGCUCCUUUAACUGCAUGGCUCUAUAUCUGGCUAAGCUAUCAUCAACACCAUUCUACUCUCUGUAGAUGUGUUGUAUAGAUAGACUAUCCAUCUAUAGAAGCAAGAACCUGCAAUCAUUUAUGAUAAUUAUUGAGCUAAACAUACCUAUGAUUUCACGCACAUCCAUCUCAUUGAAGAUUGGUGUGAGAUGUUUAUGUACAUCAAUUUUGAGUCCCAUGAGGAGUGCAAGAAGUUCAGUUUGAAUACUUGUGCCUUCUUGGACUCUCCCUGUAAAGCCUAUAAUCCAGUUUCCAUGGAUAUUUCUAUAAACACCUCCAAUGCCAUAUUUUCCCUUAUCCGGGAAACAAAAGCCAUCAAUGUUAAGUUUAUAGGCAGUGUUGGUUGGUGGAUGACACUUUAUAUAAUAGGGUGAUGAGGAAGAAUUUUUUGUUGAACGGUAUGUAAAUAAAUAAAAUUCUACAGCGGUUUUUAUAAUAAAGGGUAUAUUAAAAGUGACUUUUGGGUUUUCAAGAAUAAGUUUAUUCCUAUCUACCAAUCCUGCCACAAAAAAAAUGGCUUAGGGUUGUGUAGGUUAUAUUAUGAGGGAUAUAAGAUGAGGGGGUGUGUAUUAGUGGGUAUAACCAACUGAGAGUAUUAUGAUGUGUUAUAGAAGAAUUAGUGGGAGUAGUAGGGAUUCUUAGGGUAGUCCAAAAGUGAUUUGUAUUAGAACAGUCGGAGAAUAGAUGAUGUAUUAUUUCAAGGACCAUAUGACAUUGCUGGCAUAUGGCUGAUUGACUGAUACCUAGUCUUGCAAGAUAUGAAGCUAUUGGCAGCCUUUCAUGGCAAAGUAGCCAUAAGAAGAAAGUAAUUUCUAGGGGAAUGUGCAGUUUCCAAAUCCACAUAUAGUUUUGCAAAAAUGGCAUAAUAGUAGGCUAUUUGAGUGAUAAUAAAAUAUUGUAGAUAGAUUUGGUUGUAAAUAUUCCAGUUAUGCAGUGCCUAAUAAAAUUGAUCACACAUAUCAGGUGUGAUAGGCAUGUAAAUGUUGGUGAUUAACGAAUGUAACUUUGCAGGCAGUUGGAAUGAUAAAGUAUCUACGUGCCAAGUGUUGUUAUAGUAAUAAUUGGAGGCUAAUUUUCUCUCCUCAUGUUGUGGUAGGGGACCAUGUAUGUAUUUACGAAGUGUUUUAUUUUGAGCGAGCCAGGGAUCAAUCCAAAAUCUGACAUGAUUUUCUGUUAAAAGAUUCCACUUAAACCCUAACUGACAGCAGGGCCAUCCCUUUAUUAUAUUACGCCAAAUGUUGGAGCCGUUAACUUCUGUUGAGUAUUCAGGUCUUAUAUUAGAAUGAAGAAUUACUUGUGCCCACAGUUGGUUUGAGAUUUUAAAUAAUUUCCAUGCCAGGCCUGUGUGCAGGUUUUGAAUUCCUAAGGGAUAGGUUGUAUAACUGUUGACCAUUUUAGUAAAUGGAGUUUUUGCUUUUGUGAUGUUGUACCCCAAAGAAAAUUAUGUUGAUACCAUUUGAGUAAGUUAUGAUAUAAUCAGGGAUUUUAAUGUAUUACAUAAUAUGAUUUGGAAAAUGAUUGAGAGUAUAUUUAAUCAGGGUAAUUCUACUGGCCCUUGAUAGGAAAAUUGUCUUCCACCCUUGGAGUUUUUUUUUUUAAAAUUAUCUAGAAGAAAUUGAUAAUCCCUUUUGGAAGGUUUCUUGGUAAAUAUAGGAAACCCUAGGUAUUUUCCAAAAUUCUUCCCUUCAUCCAUCUGAAAGAGAUGGAAAAUUGUUUGUCUGAUAAAAGGUUGACAAUUGUUUGAGAAGUAAAAUUUUGAUUUCUUAAAGUUGAUAGUUUGACCGGAUUGGUGGGUAAACUAGUUGAGGCUACUACGAAUGGAAUGGCAAGUCUUAGCAGUAACUUGGGAAGUGAGAAUAAUAUCGUCAGCAAAUAGCAAGUGAGAUAGUUGGGGUCCCCUUUUUGAUAGGGUAAGGGGCAUCCAUUCCCUAUAGUCAAUAACUCUAUUUAUUUUCCUUGAUAGCAGCUCCAGACAUAGAAUAAACAAAUAAAGUGAUAAAGGGUAUCCUUGCCUAAUGCCUCUUGUGGAGGUGAAGUAAUCAGGAAGACUACCAUUUAUUAAAAUAGAAGUAGAAGUGGUUGUAAUGCAGGACAUAAUAAGCUUAAUGAUAUCCUUAGGGAAAUUUAAGACUAAGGUGUGAUAAAUAAAAGAUAAUUCUAGUUUAUCAAUGGCUUUUUCAAGGUCUAGAUUGAGAAGCAUAUUUAAUUGUUUGCUCUUCCUUUUUUAAAAUUACGAAUGAUCUCUUGUACAAUUAUUGCAUUGUUAGCUGCUCUCUUAUUUUUCGGAAAGCUAUACUGACUAGGAUGAAUAAUAGCUCCAGAAUUUGUUUUAAUCUAUUCACAAUAAUUUUUGUUAUGAUCUUGUAAAUGAUGUAUAAAGACCGAUAGGUCUGUAUUGAGAUAUUAUGGAGGCAUUAUAGUUUUUUGGAAUAAGACAAAUAAAAGAUGUGUUAAUAGAGUGGUCAAUAUGGUAUUCAUUAAAAGCUUUAUGAUAGAAAUAUUUGACAGAGUCGACUAUAAUAUUCCAAUAUUUUUAGUAAAACAAUGGAUGAAGACAAUCCGAUCCAGGUGCUUUGAGGGGUUAAAACGAAUUAAUAGCAUUUUGAAUUUUCUUAUCCUGUAGAGGAUGAAUUAGUCUUUAUUGAUCCUUACUUGUUAACACAUUGUAAGGGAAAAAUUUAUUAGUAGGAUAGGAUAUAAAAUUUAUAGUUGUGAAUAAUUUUGUAUAAGAAAGAGCAAUGUGAUCUUUUAUUUGAUGAGGGUUGUCAAUCCAGUUUCCUCCUUGAUCUUGAAUAGUAGUGAUUCGAUUAUGCCUUGUACGAUUUAUAGUUGAUAGGUGGAAAAACUUGGUAUUUGCAUCCUCAUUAUUUAGCCAAUUUAUACAGGACUUCAAUCUCCAAAAGUCCUCUUCUAGUCGUAGAAUGUGAUUAUAUUCAAUUUGUAAUUGAUGUUCCAAAUUUUGUAGAAAAUUACUAGUGGGAUAAUGGAUGGAGGAUUGUAAAUCACUUAAACGGGCUAAGACUUUAUUUUUUCUUUUAAAAAUAUUACCAAAAGUAGAAUUGUUCCACUCUUGUACUAUAUUUGUAAACCUGUAUAUUGCACGUAAUAAAUUUAAAUUUUUCGGUCAGGCUUGUUGAAUUACAGAUGAAAAAAAGGGUGCAUAGUCCAAAUUUUUUCAAAACGAAAUUUUUUUUGCCUUGGCAGGGUGCUAUUUUGUAAUUAUAAUUUGAUGGGACAAUGGUCGAAAUGGUACGUGGUAGAUGGGUGACCAAUGCUUCAGGAAACUGGUGCAGCCAGCUAUAGUUUGCCACGACACGAUCGAUACGCUCAAGUAUAUUUGCUCCAUUAUGCCUUCCAUUGGUCCAUGUGUAACAACUACCUUAUAACCUAAGUCUAUCAAAUAACAAUAAUAUGAAGCAGUCUAACAAUUUAUUUGAACGUGACAUAUUUAUAGGAUGGCCACCAAACUUAUCAGAGACAUGCGUAAUUUCAUUAACAUCCCAUCCAAGGAUCUAUGGCCCUUUGUAAUUAUCAUAUACACACAUCAAGUUAUCCAAAAGAGCUAAUUUAUUACUUAACUCUGUGCUUGCAUAAAUAGCAGUGAACAAGAAUUUAUAGGGGUAAGGGCGUACCUGGAUAUGGCAAUGUAUUUCCUAGGAAGUAGUGGCCACUGGCUCAAUGUUAAGAACAUUUGAAAGACAUAAAAUGGCUAUUCCCCCAGCUUGCCCUAUAGCAGCAACCUAUUUGAGCCCAUUGAAGUUAAAAUCCUCCUUCAAAAUCUGGUGAAUUUCACAGUGAGUUCCAAGAGUACAACCAUAGAUGGCCUGUUAUAAUCAAGAAGUGAUCAAAAGUUCCUUCUAAAAUUAGCAUAUUGGGCCCCUUGACAAUUUCAAAUAAUAAUAUUCAUAUUAUAAUUAUCUGAGUCAAUCCUUGGAUUCCUCCAAUUGCUACACCUUCAUUAGCCUUUAAGGGCACCUUGCGUAUAUUUUUAUCUCGUAUUCCUCAUUUGGGACAAAUACUUUGAUCCCUUCUAGACAUGCAUGCACUGGUCUUGUUUCUCUAUUGUAUACGAUUGCUUCUUAUAGUUCUGCCUAGAAAUUUAUGUCAUGUUUUGGUGAAUUGGGAUGGUGAGGGGGUGACUGGGAUGGUAAAAAAGUUGGAGUUA